UGUAAGAUAGUAAAACUGACGCUUUGGGUUUCCCAACUCGUCAGAUACUGAUGCUUUCAGAUGGUGGCCGACCCAACCUACAAUCCUAAAGCGUCAGUAUCUGACGAGUUGGGAAACCCAAAGCGUCGGUUUUACCAUCUUACAAACAGGAGCUUUAAGUUCCCCUGUGUAGUUCCCUUGUUGAAUUUCCAUGCCCUUCUUGUGUCUCUGGUUCUUUAAGUGUCUUAGGUGUUUUCCUCUGUCUCCCUCUGUCUGUAGUUUUGUUUCCCUCCAUGUUUCUCCUCUGUGCUCCUCCCCCGCUCAUUACCACACCUGGCCUCCUCCCUCCUCUCUCUCCUCACCUGUUCCUUGUCUGAUCGUUAGUGUCUCUGUUUUAAGCCUCUGCUUUCCCUCUUGUCUUGGUCCGGUCAUUGUAUGCUUCAUGCUCAUGUCCAUAUCUGCAUCUUGUCCUGUCCUGUCCUCCCAGAGCUCCUUUUGUCUCCAGUCUUCCCUUGGUAGAUGGAUAUUCCUGCUGCACCUGAUCACCGCAGAAACCAUCACAGAGAAGGAAGCAGUUUUCUUUUUCUCGCUCUGCUCUUCUUCAGCUGCUCUGGCUAUGAGAGAUGAAUGAAGGGAAAGGAAGGGAGCCGGCGAGAGUCGGGACAGGUGGCAGCGCCGGUUAAAUGUUAAAUGAUGAAGAGGGGAGCCGUGCUCGAGCAGCAGGGAAGGCUCACCUGUCACGGCCCCCGCCAGCGUCCCCGGAAACGCCAAAAGGGCCGCCGGACAGGCUGAUUCAUGACCCGGCUGGCAGGAGGCUCUCAAAACAAUUUAAGGAUAAAGUAUCGUCAUUUUUAAAAUCCCCUGUCACUCUCUGCCUGUUUAACGCUUGACACCACAUUUUUUUCUCCUUCUGCUCCCCUCGCUCUUCUUCUGUGGUUAAAGAGAUCCUGCAGCGACCAGAUCAUCUGGUCAGAGCAGGAAGUGCAUCAGGGAGCAUCAGGCCGUUUGUCUUCACACAGGUUGACAGGCUUUGUUAAUGGUUAUUUUAACAAGUGCAGUUAAUGAUGGCUGAUGAUGAUGUUGAUGUUUUGCCAGAAAUGUUCUGGAUUUUAAAUAUGACACUGGCUACAUUUAUUU
This 1116-nucleotide long non-coding RNA is filed under the name Sparus aurata (gilthead seabream). RNAcentral describes it as "lncRNA (ENSSAUG00010005809.1)". Lineage: Eukaryota; Metazoa; Chordata; Actinopteri; Spariformes; Sparidae. The record is from RNAcentral.